RNAcentral lists this ribosomal RNA (1224 nucleotides) under Triticum aestivum (bread wheat). RNAcentral describes it as "partial small subunit ribosomal RNA". Lineage: Eukaryota; Viridiplantae; Streptophyta; Magnoliopsida; Poales; Poaceae. The record is from RNAcentral.
AUGCAACCGGAUAACACGGAUCCUUCUGAGAAAAGUGACAAGCAGGGUCUUCCAGAAGAAAGGAGUGUCAGUCCUAAGGAUCAGUUGGUAGAGUGUGGUUGUAUUCUGCAGGAUCUUGCGGCUAGUACACCUCAAGCAGAACUUAUGAUUAAUAACCUUGUGAUUGAAGUGCUUUUGGACAACCUUCAUACGGCAAAGUCGUCUAGGAUGAAGGGAAUUUGUCUUGGAAUCAUGGGAAACUUAGUCUGUCAUGAAUCUCUAGUUGCUGCAAUCUCUUCGAAAAAAGGUUUAAUUGCAACUGUCGUGGAGCAAUUGUUUCUAAAUGAUGUCAAAUGCCUUUCUGAAGCAUUCAGGUUGUUCGCUGCCAUUCUUCGGUCCAGUGCAUCUGUUUCUUGGGCUCAAGCUCUUUUACCUGAUGAGAUUCUUUCACGUAUUCUACUGAUAGUUGGGAAGACAGAUAAUUGUACAUUACUUGAAAAGAUCAUUGACUUCCUAUCAACUGUCAUUGAUAAUCGAGAUGUGAUUGCUAUGCUUAUCCAGCCCUUGCUUAAACUGGGUUUAGUUGACCGUGUUAUUGGGUUACUAACAAAUGAGAUUGAAAGAUCACCGGAUGAGAAGCUAGACAGAUCAGGUUCUCUUGAUUUGAUCCUUCACUUCAUGGAAGAAUUAUCAGCCAUACACUGUGUUUCAAAGGCAAUGUCAUCGAAUGACCGGCUGAUUAAAGUGUUAGUUAACAUGAUCAAGUGGCCUGAUAAAGUUGAGGUUGCAAGCUAUUGUGCUUCGGUGGUGAUCGUAAUGUCAAAUAUUUUGACAGAUGGAAAGCAUUUGGUGCCUAAGAUAUCCCAUGAUUUACCGUUCCUGGAGGGCCUACUUGAAGUUCUUCCAGAGGUCCCUGAUGAUGACCAAGCUCGAUAUGCACUUUGGAGUAUCUUAUCGCUUAUUCUGGCACAAGUGCAAGGAACUGAGUUGAACUCCUCGUCCCUCGACCAGUUUGCGUCUCUGUUCUCAGGCAAGUUCGGCCUCAUCAAAGAUGACCUCGAGAGUCAGGUGAUUGAUGAAGAGAAGUUAACACCUGAGGAUGCUCUCCUGAAGGAAUGGACAUCGAGAUGUCUCAUGGCAAUCUCCUUCUUCAUGGAGAGAUGGAUCAAGGUGAAGUCCUCGACUGGAGACUCCAUCAACAAUGCUCAGGAGGUGCUGAGCUACUGCCAGAAGGCGCUCCACUAA